Coffea arabica (coffee) is the source of this 7535-nucleotide non-coding RNA. The record is from RefSeq and is a predicted model, not a curated record. NCBI's taxonomy places the organism in Eukaryota, Viridiplantae, Streptophyta, Magnoliopsida, Gentianales, Rubiaceae.
AUCGUCUAACUCGGUUUUCUGCAUCGGUUUAGGGCUGUGAAAUUAGUUAAAUUGGAAUUGUCAAUCGACGGUAGGCUCUGAUUUAUUCAUGAUUGCUUUAGGUGGUAGCUCUGGUAUUCGGCGUUUUCGCGAUCAUCAGAUAGUUCGAGUUUUUUUGCAAUAGUUUGGUUUGUUGAUAUGAUGAUAAUUUGUCCAUCGUUCCAAUUUAUCGGACAAUUUUGGUGUCGGUUUUCCUUCUUGUUAAUGUUUCGAAAUUCACCUUGUUGUAGAAUUGGCAGAAUGGAGGAGAGAAGCGCUCUGUUGGAUGGAUUUGAAUGUGGUCUGAAAUUUGGGAGUUCUUCUCUAAUCCCCUCUUGGUCUUGGGUUGUUCUUAUCUUUGCUUGAUAAAGUCACCGCCUUUAUUUUAUGCGGUCACUGCUGACGAGCUCUAGGUGUUGUCUUGAUCUUAGGGGAGCUUGGAUUCAAAGGUUUGGUCGUGAUUAUUAUCCUGUUCUCCUGUUUUACAAAAUUUUGGGGGAGUUUUUCUUUCCCUACUUGUGGCUUUGUGCUAUUUUCCCGAACAACGAUUGGGAGUUUUUUUUUUGGAUAAUAAUGAUUGAAAAACCAUAGGAGUUAUCCAACAUACAUGACUUUGUUUGGUAUUCCAGUUUAUCUGACAAUUUGGCAUCACAUUACCGUAUUGUUGUUGUUGCUUAGAGAUUGGCCUUCCUUUUAGAACGGUGGAAUUCUGGCCUUACGAGGAGAGGAGAUGUUUUGACUGGUGCUCUAAAAUCGGGAAAUUUACCACCUUUUAGGGAGUUAUUAUUAUCUGGCUCUCCAUGUUGUCUUGAUCGUAGGGGAGCUUGGAGUUUUGGUCAUUGUAGUUACCCUGCUAUAUUGGUUUACGAGAUUUCAUAAAAGUUUGCUCUUUUCCUACUUUUUUUAAAAUUUUUUUUUUUUUUAAAGCUGUUUUUCCUUAGGACUGAUGGGGACCUUCUGGAUAUGGUGAUUGAUUUGCUCUGCAUCUACCUCGUUAGGAUUGAAGGAUUGAACAACUCAAGUUGUCUGUUUCAAAGGAACUAUUUAACUUCCUUGACAUGACUUUGGUUGCUGGAAUCUGGGUACAGAUGACUCGGAGGUUUGAUGACAACUUACGUCUCUUGUCCGAAAUCAAAGGCUUUUUGCAUUGUUAACAAAGGGAGUUCGCACUAUUUUUUCCUUUUUGCUUGAGCCAACUUAGUGGUUUUGACACCUGUAAAUAUCUCAUGUCCCCCCCCUUAAUGUUAGGAUCUUGGAAUUGAGACCUGUAUCUUCUAAUGCAUCCAAAGGCAUUUCCUCUUCAUAUUUUUAAGUAACUUUUUUUGCUCAUGUAUUUCUUUUUUUUUUGCUGACACUUUGUUUAAAGUUGUACUGAUUAUUGGUCUUGUUCCAGGGGGUUCCCCUUCAUCCCAACCUUUUUAGUUGUGGUUGCUCUAAGAGCUUCUAAAUGGUUGUUCGGGUUAUAUGUCCUCAGCUGUGUAGUAGGCGUUUUUUGGAAGGAGUUCUGUUUCUCCACCUGCAUACUUGAAGGUCGUCUCUUUAGGCGGAUGUGGAAUUUCAAGUUUUGCAAUACUGGGUUUGUUGUCAUUAUGUUUUUCUCAUACAUGACAAUUUAUUAUUGGAAGAUUUUGACAUCAGUUAACUUUAUUGAUAUGUUAUCUCUACAAAAUGAGUUGGGGGCACAACUAUCAGCAUUUAAAGAGUACGUGAAGGAGAGCUGUCCUAUCCAAGGGAUGUGACAGUUUAAAGUGUUUGAAAGUAUUUUUCAACAUUUCUAUGCUGAUUACUGUUUAUAACAAUCUAUAUUUGAAAGCCAACAGUUUGCGGGUCAUUUGACUUUGUAUACUCAUGGAUUUUUGGUGAUUUUGAGCUGUUGUUGUGGUAUCUCGGGGCUUCCUUCUUCCAAUCAAAGCUUAUCUUCCUUGUCUUGGAGGAGUCCUCUUCUACCUUGAGCUAAUUGCACCUAGUUGUUUUUGAACUUGGUGGUUUUGGGAAUAUUUUUAAUGUCCAUCUCUCAUCUGUACUAUAGUGGCUUGGAUUCAAGAUUGAUCGUUUAGUACUGUAGCUGUGAAUUAUCUUCAACAUGAUUCUUGAGCCAAAAAGUUGAGCAGUUCUUCUCUUUGAUACUUGGUGUGACUGGUUUUCUUAACCAACAGUGGACAGCUUUUGGUUAGUCAUAAACCCAUUCUGUCCUCUAAUUUGAUGAAGAAGUUUGUGUGGCUAAAAUGUCUGAAAAGAGCUAUCAACACCCUUAUGCUUAUUACUUCCAAGUCUGUUUGUCUAUCUUCAUUUUAGGAAGAAGCUUGGAAUUAAAGAACUCACUGGGUUAAAGUGAUUGAAUGGCGUUCUCUGCUUCUUUGGAGCAUUACAUUUUUUUUUUGGAAUCAUCUGUAAGGACUUUCUGUGUUUGUUGUGUACGAUCUUGGGUUUGUGUCUCCCUGUUUUCAUCGAGAUCUUUGCUUUCUUCUUCUGAGCCUAACACCAUUUACAUUGUUUUGGAGGAACUCUUUUCUGCCUCUGACUAAUUGAUCCUCUGUGCAUGAUCAAUUUUCAGUUUUCUAUUGAUGUUGAUGUCUCCUCUCUAUUGUUGGAACUGGGGUGCAAGAUGGGUGUUGUGCUUGAAGAUUUCCUAGGCUCUUUUAUCUGCUUCUUGAUAAUUUGGCGAAUUCAUUCUGCUGUUUGGCGCAGCAUUACAAUUUAUCCAUCUGCAUGAUGUUGUGAGAGAAAAUGGGAGUCUCUUUGUCCCUACUUUCCUUCUGAGCUUUUCUUGAUGAAAUAGUGGAUAACAUGUCAUCUUCAUUUUGGAAGGAGCUUGGAUUUGGUGAGCUCAGUGAUGUCAUUAAAAUAAUUGAAAGGAGUUCUCUGCUUCCUCGUGUAUUACUUUGUUUGAAGAUUGACAGUUCUGGGAUUAUCUGUAACAACUAUAUAUCUACAUCUUAGGAUCUUGGGUUUCAACCAUGCUGUUGUCAUUUAGAUCUUAGGCUUUCUUUUGUCAAAGGAUAUUUACAUCAUUGAAGGUCAAACUAAUUGUUUGUUUGUGGUUGAUCAGUUAUUGGUUUUGGGGAUGUUAUUGACGAAUAUGUUUCCUUUACUCCAGCAGCUUGCAUUCAAGUGACAUCCCAGGCUCUUUUAUCUGCUUUUGAUUUUUUGUUGGAUUCAUUCUUUCAUUGGAGCAAUAAUUAUUUUUAAUUAUUUGGGGUGGCAGUGAAUUCUACUGUGCUGUAAUGCGGAGAGAAUUGCAAGUCCUGUGUUGUGGUUUACAUGAUUUUGCGGGAGAGCCGGAGUUUUUUGCUUUCCCUGCUUUUGCUGUUAGGUUUCUCUGAACAAUAAUGGACAGUUUCUGGUUAAAUUUUGAGAGGCUUCAUCAUCAUCAUUUUAGGAAUUGAAGAAAGUCAGUGUGCAGUUAUAAAGUGAUUGAAAGGUGUGUGUGUAUUACUUUGUUUUGGGUUAUCUGUAACGCCUUCGCAUAUUUGUUUUAGGAGUUUAAAUUGGUCUGAGCUGUUGUAGUGACAUCUUCGGUCUCCUUUAGAUUAAAGGCUAUCCACGUUGGUUUGAAAGGAAUUCUAUUCUGCCUAAACUAAUUGUGUCAGUGGUUGACAAUUGACGAUUUUUGGGAUGUGGUAGCAUCUGUGUCUUGUUUGUAUUCUAGGAGCUCAGGUUCAAGAUUGCUUUUUUGGUAACAUCUCUGGCUGUUUUAUCUGCUUUUGAAGCUCGUACUGGUCGGCAUAGUUUCACGAAUAACGCCCAUUCCUGGUUAUUUGGUGUGGUUAUGAAAUAAUUAUUCAUUCUGAUGCAAUUACUAAUUGCAGUUCACCAGCUUAAGUAAUAAAUAUAUGUUUUUUCCUGGUCUAUGAGUUGAUUUCAGAGGUUGAGGACUAGUUAUUUUAGUUUCUAUGGUGUAUUUACAGCAGCUGGUCCUUUUUUUGUUGCUGCAGAGAAUACAGUGACUGGAUGCUACUUGCUUUGCUAACACCUUUGAUAUAUGCAGUCUUAGUGUUGAUAAUAAAUGCUUUGGACUGUCGGACCCUGUAGAUUGCCGGGUUGAUUGAUGAACUGUCAAUUCUACUCUUUCAAGUACUUGCUACAAUUCUUGUUCUGCAACUUUCACAGUGGUUUUCAAAAUUUUCAAAUGGUCUUCUGGAGGGUUUUCCUUGGGUUUGGAGAAUUGUGGGUUCAGCUAUACAAAAUGGUGGUCAUCUAUUAUAUUUGUGGAACUGCUAAGAGGUGGUUGUGUUAGUAUUUGAUAAUCUACACUUCUGUUGGUGGUCUAUCAUGUCAUGUUGCUUUGCACACAUUUGUGGUUCUCCUCCUGCUUGUUUGGCUGGAUAUGCGUAUUUAAAAGAGCUUCUAAAGUUAAAGAAGUGAAGGUUUCCUCUUACUCAGGAGCUGACCUUCAUCCCAAACUCAGUUCUGUUUGCUCUGAGGAGGUAACUGGCAUCAUCAAUUACGCUGUCUUGCUCAAUUAGGGUGUGAAUUCGCUUGUUUUUGUCCUGUUGUUACCAGCAUUUACAUGAUUUCGGAGAGCUUCUCGUCAUAUGCAUCGUGAUGGUUGGGUUGGCUUCUGAAUGGUUGUUCAGGUUGUAUGUCCUCCUCUUCAUGUUAGGAGCUUAGGUUGAAGAACUCAUCCGUGUAGUGGGCAUUGUUUGGAAGUGGUUCUGGUUCUUUAUCUUUAUUACUUGAAUGUUGUCUCUUUAGGCAGCUGUGGAAUUUCAAGUUUCGCAAUGUUUGGUAUGUAAUCAUUUUUUAUGGUUCUCUCUUAGAUGACAAUUUGUUAUUCAAGGAUUUGAGAUCAGUUAACUCUAUUUAUAUGUUAUUUCUAUAAAAUGAGAGUUGGUGGCUUAACUAUCAGCAUUUAGAGAAUAUGUGAAGGAGAGCUAUCCAAGGGAUGUGACAGUUUAAGAGUGUUUGAAUGUAGUUCUCUGUGUCUCCACACUGAUCACUGUGUAUAACUGUUUGAAAACCAACAGGUUCUGUGCCAUUUGACUUUGUAUACUUGUGGAUUAUUGACAAUACCAGGCUGUUGUAGUGAUACCUAAGGGCUUCCUUCUUGCAAUCAAAGCUGUAUACCUUGUUUUGGAGCAGUCUUCUUCUACCCUGAGCUAAUUGUUGCUGAAGUUGGUGGUUUUGGGAAUGUUUUUAAUGUCCAUCUCUCAUCUGUGCUGUGCUGUAGGGGCUUGGAUUCAAGGAACUGUGGUACAAGAUGGGUGUUGUGCUUGAAGAGACUCUAAGCCCUUUUAUUGCUUCUUGAUUAUUUGUCGAAUUCAUUCUGUUGUUUGGUGUGGCAGUAAAAUCUACCUCUCCGUAAUGUGGGUGAGAAGUGCAAGUCUAUGUUCUCUUGUUCAUGAUUUUGCAAGAGAAAAUGGGAGUUUUCUCCUUCCCUGUUUUUCUCCUGAGGUUUUCUUUGACCAAAUAGUUGACAUGUCAGGUUGACUAAGAUCUAUGUCAUCUUUAAUUUGGAAGGAUCUUGAAUUCGAGGAGCUCAGUCAUGUCGCUAAAGUAACUGAAAGGAGUUCUUUGCUGCCCUUCAUGUAUUACUUUGUUUGAAGAUUGACAGUUUCUGGAUUAUCUAUAAAAUUCAUUCUUUCUUCACUGGUUUAAUGAAUAAUCUUUCUUAAUCAUUUGGUGUGGCUGUAAAUUCCAUGUUCUGUAAUGUGAUGAGAAUUGCAAGGGCUGUGUUGUGGUCUAAAUGAUUUUGAAGGAGAACCAGAGGAGUAAUUUCCUUUCCCUAUUUUUCAUAUUGGGUUUCUGUGAACAAUAAUGAACUGUUUCUGGUUAUCUAUUGAAAUGCUCCUGUUCAUCAUCAUUUUAGGAAGGAGGUUGGAAUUGAAGAAGUCAGUUGUGUGGUUAAAGUGAUUGAAAGGACUGUGUAUUAGUAUGUCUUAGGCUAUCUGUUAUGCCUUUGCAUAGUUGUUUUACGAGUUUCAAUUGGUUGGAGCGGUUGUAGUGACAUCUGUGGCCUCCUUCAGAUUAGAGGCUAUCCAUAUUGGUUUGAAGGAAUCCUAUUCUAUCUAAAUCAAUUGUUUGUUAGUGCUUGACAAAAUCCCUGGCUGUUUCAUCUGCUUUUGAAGUUUGUACCAUUAGUCGCUGAGUUUCAUGGAUAAUAUCCAUUCCUGAUUAUGUGGUGCAGUUGCUAAAUAAUUGGAUGCAAAUACUAAUUUCUGUUCAUCAGCUUAAUCUGGAAAUAAUUUUUUUUCAUGGUUUAUGAGUUGGAUUUUUUCUUAUUCUGGAGGUCUGGGACUUUUUUAUCUUAAUUUCUGUGGUGUAUUUAUAGCAGAUUGAGCAUGUAUUGGAGGUUUUGGCUAUUUUCUGAUGAAGUUUGCUAAGUCUUUAGCAAAGUUGAUUAAAGUGCUGCUGUUGUAUGCCGGUGAUUUAACUUUUUUUUACUCCAACCUGCUUAUGAUCCUGCAGUCAGAAAAUGGGGCUUCUUUUCCUACUGUUCUCCACUGUUGAUAUAAAAGAAGCUGAGGCACCAGUUUCAAGGGGAUAAAAAUGAGAUAGAAAAUGUUUUCAUAUUUUUGAGGCCUUGUCUGACACUUGUAGGGCUCCAAUCCUAUUGUUUUUGCUGCAACUUAAAGGUGCCUUGUGUUUCUUCCAAGUUUGAUUCAAGCUUUCACCUGAGCGUAUCCAUUUACUUGUGAGUUAAGUUAUGCAUCCUCAGCUUUUUGUUGUGGCAUGAAUCUGAGUGUAGAAUUGUGUGUGGAAGACAUUUAUUUCUUUAUUUUCUUGAUGAAUUUUACAAUCAGGUUAGAUUGUUACAAAUUGGCAGGAAAACAGAUAAAGAAGAUUAAAUAAGGUAAUUACAUUUAUGUAGGCGUUGAUUAUAUGCUAUAGGUGCAUGCAGACAAGAUUUUUCUAUAAUCUUAAAUGAGAGAGCAGAUCAUUCAGGUGUAUUAGAGUUGUGGGUUAUUUCUUUUUCCAGAACAUACAUUUUAGCAGACAUCCUUGCUCCCAGUUCUAGUGAAAGCUACCCAGGAAAUUGAUAAAUCUUGUUUUUAUGUUGGUUCAUCAUGUUAUUUGUUGAGAUUGCUCUGUGAGGUUUGUUGCAUGUCUAUUCAUGAAUAUGUGCGGGAAUGGAAUUUUCUCUGCGUAUGCUCUUUUUUUAGGCCCUUGGAAACGGAUUGCAUUCUCUUGUGCUGGAGUCUCCUUGCAGCAUCUGCACCAACUUUUGAUAGUGUAGCCGGUCCCAAGCCCGGAAAUAAGGAGGAGGGAAAGCUGCUCUUUUGUUGGUUGCUACACUAUAAUGGCUGAUGUAGUAGAGCUUUUUUUAGAUGUUGAAUACAUGUGAAUGGCUGAUGUUGAACUUAGUAUACUAGUAGAGCUUUUCUUGGAUGUUGAAUACAUAUGAAUAGCCUAAGAAGGCUAUUAUCUUAUCCAAGUAAUGGCUGAUGUUCUUGUGUAUGCUGUCUUGUGAUUCCUCCUACUUUUAAGUGUAGCUCGCGAAAAUCUUCAGUGUCCUCUGGACUUGAAAUAGAUGUAAUUGAGAAAAUUAUUGCAAUACGGUUUGGUGGUUUCUCCAA